GGGGGCUGUAGCUCAGUGGUCGAGUUUUUGACUGCAGAUCAAGUUGCCCUUGGUUCAAAUCCAAGUGCCCCCU
Molecule: non-coding RNA, 73 nt
Organism: Caretta caretta (loggerhead turtle)
Lineage: Eukaryota; Metazoa; Chordata; Testudines; Cheloniidae
Source: the annotation of a RefSeq genome assembly